GGAGAGGGAAAAUGGGAAGCAUGUUUCAAAAAGAGGAAGGCGCUUAUUUGGGCAGGUGUAAGACAUUAGGCUGGCUGAAUUCGCUCAGUCGUGUCUGACUCUUUGCGACCCUACAGACUAUAGUCCACCAGGCUCCUCCGUCCAUGGGAUUCUCCAGGCAAGAAUACUGGAGUGGGUUGCCAUUUUCUCCUCCAGGGGAUCUUCCUGACCCAGGGAUCGAACCUAGGUCUCCUGCAUUGCAGGCAGACGCUUUAACCACCAAGCCACCAAUUGCAAAGUCCAGAUUUUUCUGACUUGGAGACUGGACUUUGGGGCUCUGAUGUCUUUUUCUCAAGAAGGCCUUGAGUUCCUAGAAGGUUCUGAGUCACCUCUUCCCCAGUGUCCAGCUCUGCACAUCAAUGGGAGAGACAGUUUUUGCUAAGACAAAAAAAUUAAAUAAGUGAAGACUGAGAAGGAUCCAUUGGAUUGGACUUGGAAUCAUUGUUGGGUAGACAUAUGGCUGCAGUGGUUUGAAGAGUGAAUGAAAGUAGAGACACCCUAUUUGGAUGGAUAUCACUAUGCACAGCUUACACUCAAGGAAUGAGGAGACAGGCUCCAUCUCUGUGUGAGUAGAGUAUCUACACAGAUUAUGAAGAAAUCUUCUGAACCACAGCCUUUUCUUUCCAAGAUUAAUAUGCUGACAGUAGCAGAAGAUGAGAGCAAUGAAGAGCCUCACAAAAAUAACAUUGCAAGUGUCUUAUGCACAUAUUUCUUGUACUAGUCAUUAACAUUUCCAUAGGCCAAGAAAAAAGUCAUUUAAUAGGAACUGCUGAUAACUGAGUGAUUUGAAUAACAUGAAGCUGAAGGACUGAAUCAACAUCUUUGGUGCUUUUUAUUUUCUAAUGUCUAAAUAGAACAGUUUGAAAAAUCAAGGUUAGUUUCACGUCCUUAUAAUUAGCCCUGAGAAUGAAAGAGAAACCACAGAAUAAAACAAACCGGUUGUGUUAGGCAGCGGUAGUAGUUUAUCUAGUCCUGUCACUUACUAGUUGUGUAAGCUAUGGCAUAUUACUUAACCUCUGUAAGCCUCAAUUUUCUAAACUACAAAUUAGAAAAAUAGUAAUGCCUACAUAAUUUUUGAGGUUUAAGUUACACAACAUAUCUCAAAAUGUAUUUGUAACCUAUAAAACUGCACUAGUUUGCUCAGGCUACAAAUUCCUGGGGCUGACACCCAGCCAUGGUGCACUGUAUAGACUUUUACACCUAAUGUUUAUUAGGUUGGUCAGAACCCAAGCUGCACUGCUGCUGCUGCUAAGUCCCUUCAGUUGUGUUCGACUCUGUGCCACCCCAUAGACGGCAGCCCACCAGGCUCUCCUGUCCCCGGGAUUCUCCAGGCAAGAACACUGGAGUGGGUUGCCGUUUCCUUCUCCACAGGCUGCACUAGUGUUGAUUAUUUUGACUCUCACCGCUGCUAGCCACUUGUGAGCUGCACAGAGAUCCUGCUUCCUCCUGGCCCUCACAGUCAUUUACUUAUGUCCUGUUGGGACAACCACAGUAUCUGGACCUUGCUACCUGUGAAUAAUUAAGAUGCUGUGUUGCUUAGAGAUCUGGGGGUGAGGAUUUUGAAAGGUAAUUUUUCCUCUUGCAGAACAUGUACCUGAAAUGUUGAGUCAGAAGCCAAGUCUGUAUAGCCCUUCCCAGGCUGUGGCUUGGUGGAUCCCCAUCUGUUGGUAUGAACAUUUAAGGCAGUGGACAGAUUUAGUGUUUGGCAAAGGUAGUUUUGUUCAUUUCCUUGGCUUCUUUUUGUUAAAAUGUUACCCAAAGUACUGUACACAUGAGGGAAAUUAUGUCCCUGAAUAAUUUCUUAAGUAUAAGCAAGUUAGAUAUAGAAAGCAAACAAAAAUUCCAAGCCAGGGGACUUCACUGGCAGUCCAGUGAUUAAGACUUUACCUUCCAGUGCAGGGGUGUGGGUUUGAUCCCUGGUUGGGAAGCUAAGAUCCCACAUGCCUCUUGCCCAAAGAAACCAAAACAUAAGAAACAGAAGCAAGAUUGUAACAAAUUCAAUAAAGACUUUAAUAAAAAAAAUUUCCAAGCCAUAUUUGAACUGAGUUAGGAAAUAGCUGCUCCAGGAAAUUACGUGACACCAGUAAAUAAGAAUAACAUUGAAGAGCAUCUCUUCAAACAUGUUACGUAUAACUUGAAGUCACUUAAUUGAAUCAAUUCCAUUUUUGCUGGAAAAAAAUGCUUAAUGGUUUUGGAAGAAAUAUUUAAUAAUAUAAUUUUCAAUCACAUUUCAUGUUUUGUUUUUCCAAGUCAGCAUUUGUCAAGAGAGUUUAGUUUCUGAUUUGUAAAAUUGUACCAAUUGUCUGAGGUUGAAUACACAAAUAUUUUUUAACAAUUGCAAAUCACUUAUUAAUGUGGGUUUUGUUAUUGUUGUUGUCAUUAUUUUUUUGUCAUGCUUUGUGACACAGAAUCUUAGUUCUCUGACCAGAGAUGUAAUGUGGGCUAUGGCAGUGAAAGCACCAAGUCCUAACCAGUGGAUUGCCAGGGAAUUUCCUUAAUGUGUUUAUUUUUAACGUUAUCACUUUGGGGAAAAAGUCAUUAUAUAUUGUAUUUUGGUAUUAAAAUUUAAAAUCAAUAGUCCAUAAGGAAAAACAAGAACAUUUCCAUGUCCUUCUUAUUGCUUAAUGUUAAAAAUUUGAUUUUCCUUUCAAGGAUGUAUGCUGCUAUUUGGGGGUAAGAAUAAAAAACUCAGUUCACCAUUCCAGAACCUGAUGGUUUUCCUUCCAUGAGUUACAAGUCUUAUAGUAUUAAAACUAUUCUGAAGUUGUUACUGGAUAAUGUUUGGACUAUCAACUUAUGUUUUUAUAUUAUAACUAAGCUUUUUAAACUUUAAGUGUCAUUUAAUUUUCUUAAGCAUAUCCCUUGAUAGU
Molecule: long non-coding RNA, 2909 nt
Organism: Bos taurus (domestic cattle)
Lineage: Eukaryota; Metazoa; Chordata; Mammalia; Artiodactyla; Bovidae
Source: Ensembl